GCUGUGAAGAUGCAGUGUACCCGCGGCAAGACGGAAAGACCCCGUGAACCUUUACUAUAGCUUGACACUGAACAUUGAGCCUUGAUGUGUAGGAUAGGUGGGAGGCUUUGAAGUGUGGACGCCAGUCUGCAUGGAGCCGACCUUGAAAUACCACCCUUUAAUGUUUGAUGUUCUAACGUGGACCCGUGAUCCGGGUUGCGGACAGUGUCUGGUGGGUAGUUUGACUGGGGCGGUCUCCUCCUAAAGAGUAACGGAGGAGCACGAAGGUUGGCUAAUCCUGGUCGGACAUCAGGAGGUUAGUGCAAUGGCAUAAGCCAGCUUGACUGCGAGCGUGACGGCGCGAGCAGGUGCGAAAGCAGGUCAUAGUGAUCCGGUGGUUCUGAAUGGAAGGGCCAUCGCUCAACGGAUAAAAGGUACUCCGGGGAUAACAGGCUGAUACCGCCCAAGAGUUCAUAUCGACGGCGGUGUUUGGCACCUCGAUGUCGGCUCAUCACAUCCUGGGGCUGAAGUAGGUCCCAAGGGUAUGGCUGUUCGCCAUUUAAAGUGGUACGCGAGCUGGGUUUAGAACGUCGUGAGACAGUUCGGUCCCUAUCUGCCGUGGGCGCUGGAGAACUGAGGGGGGCUGCUCCUAGUACGAGAGGACCGGAGUGGACGCAUCACUGGUGUUCGGGUUGUCAUGCCAAUGGCACUGCCCGGUAGCUAAAUGCGGAAGAGAUAAGUGCUGAAAGCAUCUAAGCACGAAACUUGCCCCGAGAUGAGUUCUCCCUGACCCUUUAAGGGUCCUGAAGGAACGUUGAAGACGACGACGUUGAUAGGCCGGGUGUGUAAGCGCAGCGAUGCGUUGAGCUAACCGGUACUAAUGAACCGUGAGGCUUAACCUUACAACGCCGAAG
This 893-nucleotide ribosomal RNA is filed under the name Shigella flexneri. Its description in RNAcentral is "partial 23S ribosomal RNA". It matches the Rfam family "Bacterial large subunit ribosomal RNA", at positions 2050 to 2925 of the family's 2925-position model. The record is from RNAcentral. Lineage: Bacteria; Pseudomonadati; Pseudomonadota; Gammaproteobacteria; Enterobacterales; Enterobacteriaceae.